RNAcentral lists this long non-coding RNA (689 nucleotides) under Homo sapiens (human). RNAcentral's name for it is "non-protein coding lnc-IGFBP7-5:15". Lineage: Eukaryota; Metazoa; Chordata; Mammalia; Primates; Hominidae. The record is from RNAcentral.
CCGGUUCCAAACCCUUGCUGGAGAGGUGAUACAGUCAUUUGGAGGAAAGAGGGUUGCUGUGGUAUGCUGGGGUUCCGCUUCAAUGCCUAGUCACCUCAGAUUUUCCUGUACCUGCAGGUAUCACCAGUGAAGCCUGCGAAGCAGCAAAGAUGGCAGUCUGCCCCGUCUUCUAGGAGCUCUGUCACAGGGAGACAAGCCGUGCUGUGCUGGCGGACCACUUCAGCUCAUGGUCACCUCAGACACUCUGAAGCCUGAAGGCUGGAACAACUAAAUUGCCCAAACAGCAAAUAUGACAGCAUCUACAGAAAUCAUUUUAUUUGAGUUAUGUAGCAAGAACCCAACUUAAGCAAAUAUAAAAUUUACAACUAAGUCACUAUUUGGAUAUUAAUGUGUAUGCUAAACUGAUUUGUUCAUGGGCUAGUCAGCUAUUCAUAUGAUCUUUACAAUUUUCUGAAUUCCAUUUUUUGGUUAAAAAAAGAAAACAAGCUGAUACUUUUAUCACUUUCUAAGAAACAUUUGAUUUAAAUUCUUAUGCCUUCAAUAUCUCAUGUAAAAUGCUAGUUUCAUUACUACUGUAAGUAAAUAUGUGUAAAACAGAAAGUAUCUGAGACAAGUCUCAAUCAGUUUUGAAGUUUAUUUGGCCAAGGUUAAGGAUAUGCCCAGAAGAAAUAAACAUGCAAUCACAGAAA